CUGCGAUUGGUUUUGCCCGAGUUUUAUUUUUGUCUGUCUCAGCUAGAAAGUGGGAGACUUUCAUUUAAAAUGGAAAUUGGGGCGAGGGGUUGGCGGCUGGGCGAAGGGAGCAUUCAAAAGCGGAGAAUGUCACUUUACCCGAGAAAUUCACUACGAUGGGCCAUUGGUUUCUGCUCGGCUCGCAGGCGCACUGCACGAGUGGAGGUGUGGCUAGUGGCUGUGAUGAGAUAAAUCCAUGCAUAGCCUUUUCAUUGCGAGCUUGAAAGUUCUUUUCUAUUACAGUUUUAGCUUUAGGUUUAAUUGGUUCGACUGCCUUCUCCACAAUUUGGGCGAGAAUUUCCUUUGCCUUCUCAGCAAAAGUUGUUCUGCGGACCCGUCUGGGUCAACUUUCAUGAGGGACAUUGAGACAAACAAAUGAAAUAUGGGUUAAAGUACUCUGAGCAGCUACAAAAAGAAGACCAGUCUAUCCUGCUGGAGACAGUGGCCACGUGAAGAAAGAGCUCUUGCAGUAUGAAAGACCACAUGGAAAGAGAGGCCACAUGGAACCAACAGUCAGCAUCUUGGUUUCGGACACGUGAAGAAAUUCAUCUCAGACUGUGUAUCCUAAAUCAGGCACUUGCUGAAUCUAACUACAUGAGUGAGACCAGUUGACAACACAUGGAGCAGACAUGAGCUGUUCUCAGUGAGUCCUACACAAAUUCCUGACUCACAACACUGUGAGCAAUAAAAUGGUUGUUAUUUUAAGCCACUGAAGUUUGCAGUGAUUUCUUACAUAGGAAUAGAUAAAUGAAACACAAACAUUGAUCAUUUGCAUCUUCUAUCUUUUUUAUGACUAGUCUUAUUGGAAAUUACCAGUUUAUUUCUGCCAUGGUUAGAAAACAAACUCUGAAAUUUUGAUACUUUAAAAUUUUUUUGAGACUUACUGUGCCCAGAAUAUAGUCUAUCUUGGUGAAUGUUCUGUGAGCACUAGACAAGAAUAUGUAUUCUGUAGUUAUUGAGCAUUGUGUCCAUCAAUGUCAACGUGAUUAAGGUGGUUAAUAGUUGUCUUCAGAUCUUCUAUAUUGUAUUGAUUGUUUUAUGUGUAGUGUUGCUAUUAAUUAUUGAUACAGGAGUGUAAAACUUAAACUAUGGCUGUGAAUUUGCCACUUACUUUAGUUUUGUCAGCUUUUCUUUUGCAUUUUUGAAGCUCUGUUAUUGGGCAUAUAAACAUUUAUGGUUCGUGUGUCUUCCUGAUGAAUUGACCAUUUUAUCAUUAUGAAAUGUCUUUAUUGCUGAUAAUACUCCUUAUCUUGAAGUCUAAUUCAUCCGAUAUUAGUAUAGCCACUGCAGCCUUCCUAGCUUACUGUUUACUGGUAUAUUUUUAUCCAUGUUUUUACUUUCAACCUGUGUUUUUUAAUUUAAUGUGCUUCUCUUAUAGACAACAGAUAGUUGAGUUUGUCUAUCAUUUUGCUAUUUGUUUUCGAUUUGUCCCAUUCAGUUUUGUGUUCCUUUGUUCUUUACUUCCUGCUUUCUUUUGGGUUAAUUAAUGUUUUUAUAUUUCAUCUUAAUUCCUCUGUUGGCUUUAACUGUAUCUUUUUGCAUUAUUGCUUUACAGUGUUUCUGAGAAUUAUGAUAUACAUUCUUAACUUAUCACAGCCUUAGAGUUAAAAUUAUGAUACUUCAUGUAAAAUAAAAGAGCCUUGCAAUAGUAAAGUUCUACUUACC
This 1704-nucleotide long non-coding RNA is filed under the name Homo sapiens (human). Its description in RNAcentral is "non-protein coding TAF1A-AS1:7". The record is from RNAcentral. Lineage: Eukaryota; Metazoa; Chordata; Mammalia; Primates; Hominidae.